Lutra lutra (Eurasian river otter) is the source of this 390-nucleotide long non-coding RNA. RefSeq lists it as uncharacterized. The record is from RefSeq and is a predicted model, not a curated record. The transcript has 3 exons. NCBI's taxonomy places the organism in Eukaryota, Metazoa, Chordata, Mammalia, Carnivora, Mustelidae.
AAUAAAGGGAUACCAUGUGUGUGUGUGCACAGAGAAGACUGUAUGAGAACACAGAGAGAAGGUAGCCAUCUGCAAGCCAAGGAGAGAACCAAUCCUACUGGCAACUUGAUCUUCAGUUCCAGCCUUCAGAACUGGAGCAAGAAUUUCUGUCCCUUUCAAGGCCUUUCUAGCCAGACUAAGAAUCAAAUUGAUCAGAGACUGAUUAGUAGGAGGAAAUCAGAUUUAAUAGCAUAUAUAUGGUGAAUCCACACAGACAGUGAAGCAAAUAAGGUAUCUCAGAGAGCCCCUGUGACACCUUGGCACACAGUUUGGGAACCACAGACUCAUGGAACAAAUUUUAUGUGAAUGGGCAAAAGGAUGGAAAAAAAAAAGAAUCUCAAAGAGGAGAGA